UACGUAGGGUGCAAGCGUUAAUCGGAAUUACUGGGCGUAAAGCGUGCGCAGGCGGUUUUGUAAGUCUGUCGUGAAAGCCCCGGGCUCAACCUGGGAAUUGCGAUGGAGACUGCAAGGCUUGAAUCUGGCAGAGGGGUGUAGAAUUCCACGUGUAGCAGUGAAAUGCGUAGAGAUGUGGAGGAACACCGAUGGCGAAGGCAGCCCCCUGGGUCAAGAUUGACGCUCAUGCACGAAAGCGUGGGGAGCAAACAGG
This 253-nucleotide ribosomal RNA is filed under the name uncultured bacterium. RNAcentral's name for it is "partial 16S ribosomal RNA". It matches the Rfam family "Bacterial small subunit ribosomal RNA", at positions 524 to 776 of the family's 1533-position model. The record is from RNAcentral.